ACCUCGCGUUAUUGGAGUGGCUAGGCCUGAUUAGCUAGUUGGUGAGGUAAAGGCUCACCAAGGCGACGAUCGUAGCUGGUCUGAGAGGAUGAUCAGCCACACUGGAACUGAGACACGGUCCAACUCCUACGGGAGGCAGCAGUGGGGAAUUUUGGACAAUGGGGGAAACCCUGUCCAGCCAUUCCGCGUGAGUGAAGAAGGCCUUCGGGUUGUAAAGCUCUUUCGAGG
RNAcentral lists this ribosomal RNA (228 nucleotides) under uncultured Sulfuricella sp. RNAcentral describes it as "partial 16S ribosomal RNA". It matches the Rfam family "Bacterial small subunit ribosomal RNA", at positions 210 to 441 of the family's 1533-position model. Lineage: Bacteria; Pseudomonadati; Pseudomonadota; Betaproteobacteria; Nitrosomonadales; Sulfuricellaceae. The record is from RNAcentral.